This is a long non-coding RNA of Papaver somniferum (opium poppy), 1785 nucleotides long. RefSeq lists it as uncharacterized. NCBI's taxonomy places the organism in Eukaryota, Viridiplantae, Streptophyta, Magnoliopsida, Ranunculales, Papaveraceae. The record is from RefSeq and is a predicted model, not a curated record. The transcript has 4 exons.
CUUAAACUCAUCGGAAGAAGGCGAAGGAGGUAAUCGAGCUCCAACACAUGUGGGUGAUUAAUGAGGUAUGUGCUUUACUUGAUCAUUAUCUGCCCGGAGUUUAUGAAACUUGAUGAUGGUGAUGGUACACAGUAGUGUUAGAGUUUGAGUUGAGAUUGUAGUGUUGUGUGUUGUUGAAAAUUGUACUUCAGAUAUGGUUUUGUAAGAUUAUUUCUCCUUCUUUCUGAUAGAUAUCACUUGUAGUACUAUGAAAGUUGAAGUUGGUGGAGGUAUUGAUUCUACAACCAUUAUCCUUAUAUGUUUGUUGCUGAUGGUUUUAUGACGCUGAUGAUAGUUAGACAUCAUUUCUUUUAUGGUGAUAAUUAAUGAUCAGUUGAGUUUGAAUACUAGCUUCCUACAAAACCCCUGAGUUUUGGUCUCCUUCCGUCGUAGUUGAUGUAGGCAUUGCAUGUUUUGUUGCUGCUAGUUGUGUGCAUAGUUUUUAGAGUGAGAUUGGGAAAAAAAUAUGAAAAGGAGAGUUGCAAAAUUUAUAAGCUUUUAUUUGUAUUUUAAUCUAUGGAAGAUUUUCAGAGACGACUUCCUAGCACACAGACUUAAAAAGCAAGUAGAUGGGCUUUAAUUGUCAUUCAAGGUAGGCUUGUAUCUUCAUAAUUGUAUGGUAUACUAUUAUUUAUGGGACUUUUAAGAUUUUCUGUUGGUUAUACUCUUCCAUCCCAGUGCCAAGGAUAUGAUGGACCUUUGAAAUGGUUUGUGUUGGCGAUUUUGUGAGUCGAACAAAACAUAAUGUCUUAUUUGACUUUUAUUUUAUUUAAAUACAACUUAAUUAAGUUAGUUUUCUUUGCUUAACGCACAAAUGCUGUUGUCUAUCCUUUAAUACCUGCUCAUUUCCAUGUUAGUCUAUCCUGCUCAUUGCCAUGUUAUUCAUAGGUUUAUUGAUCUGGCCUUGCUUUAUAUUUGUUGUUUAUGUUUUAGUCCAGAUCUGAAUUGCACCUAAAGGAUCCUUGCUAUUUGAGCCUUUUUUGGUUUCAAUAAUUUCAUCUAGAUGGCCGAACUUCCUCUGCCCAUGUUAUGUUUUCUUCUCGGGAUCGGUUCAACAUCAAAGUGGUUUACAACAAGUAAUGGCUGUUGGAUGUUGAUGCAAUCAUAACUUAGGAAGGUGUUCCAAUUGUCAACCAAUUUAUUGUUGUAGCCUGGGAGGUCAAUGGCUUCAGGUAGCUUCUAAAACAAGUAUAACUGCUGGUGUCUCACCAUCACUGAAUCCUCCUCCUUGGACAGGGGUUGUGCCUUAGGCAGUGUAUUUAUUAGUGCUUGAGAAGAAAUUAGUUCAUCCUCUACUACAUAAGUCUUUUAAGCUGCAAGUCAAAUGCGUCUAGCAGAAAGCAGAGGCGAAUCAUGAUUUCAACAACUUAAAUUGAAGAUGCGCGACUUCCAGGAUAUUGGGAUCCCUAUACCUUCGUAUAGCUAUUGUUUUUUGAACGAACUUCAGGAAAUGAGCAGAUGCAAGUGUUUAUAUUGAUUUUAGAAAGGGAAAUCCAGAAUGCGAUGAUGAAACUAUGGAAACUGCGAUACAGAUGGAGUACUUGGAGAUAAUUUAGUAGGUGGCCAAAAACUUUGAUAAAUCAUACAAGAAUCUACCUAAUUGGACUGGCAGGAUUAGUUGAUAAGUUUAAUAAAUUGAAUUCCGUAUUAAUGUUUUGGAUGUUUAUCCUUUUUUGUGUAUGUGAGUUUGGGAUGUUAAUGUAAACCUGAAUCCAUAUUUGAAAUAAAAUUAAGGUAUAUUAACUU